This 254-nucleotide ribosomal RNA is filed under the name uncultured bacterium. RNAcentral's name for it is "partial 16S ribosomal RNA". It matches the Rfam family "Bacterial small subunit ribosomal RNA", at positions 524 to 776 of the family's 1533-position model. The record is from RNAcentral.
UACGUAGGCACCAAGCGUUGUCCGGAUUUAUUGGGCGUAGAGAGCUCGUAGGCGGUUCAGUAAGUCGGGUGUGAAAACUUUGGGCUUAACCCAAAGCGUGCAUCCGAUACUGCUGUGACUUGAGUUCGGUAGGGGAGUGGGGAAUUCCUAGUGUAGCGGUGAAAUGCACAGAUAUUAGGAGGAACACCGGUGGCGAAGGCGCCACUCUGGGCCGAAACUGACGCUGAGGAGCGAAAGCAUGGGUAGCAAACAGG